Molecule: ribosomal RNA, 492 nt
Filed under: uncultured bacterium
Lineage: Bacteria
Description: partial 16S ribosomal RNA
Rfam family: Bacterial small subunit ribosomal RNA
Source: RNAcentral
AAUGAACGCUGGCGGCAGGCCUAACACAUGCAAGUCGAGCGGAAGCUCAGUGAGUGCUUGCGGACACGGGUGGCGAGUGGGGGACGGGUGAGGAUUACAUCGGAAUCUACUUUUACGUGGGGGAUAAUGUAGGGAAAGUUACGUUGAUACCGGAUACGACCUACGGGUUAAAGCAGGGGAUCUUCGGACCUUGCGCGAUUGUAUUCGCCGAUGUCGGAUUAGCUAGUUGGCGGGGUAAAGGCCAACCAUAGCGACGAUCCGUAGCGGGUCUGAGAGGAUGGUCAGACACACUGGAACGGAGACACGGCCCAGACUCCUACGCGAGGCAACAGUGGAGAAUAUUAGACAAUGGGCGCAAGGCUAAUCCAGCCAAACCGCGUGGGUGAAGAAAUCCUUCGGGUUGGAAAGCCAUUUUGUUGUUAAAGAAGAACAGCACUUUAAUCCCCCACUAUUCUGACGGUACCCAAAGAAUAAGCACCGGCUAACUUCGUG